CUUCCUCGAGUAUUCCCAUUCGAGUAUCACAAUUCUGUCUUUCUCAUUAAUGAGAGAAGUUGAAAACGUUGCUUCCUGUGACCAAAAUGGCUUUCUUUCCCAAGGGCUGAUGGCGGAGGCGGCGACGGCGCAGCUGAGCGGGCGGCCAGCAGGGGGCGCGGCCCCGCCGUCCUCACAUCCAUCCGGGACACGGAGGGGCGGGGCGCCCCUUACACAGCCUGCGAGGGGCGACCCGGGAGAAGGUUUUCCAAACAAGCGGCUUUGCUGACUCCCGGGGCCUAAGAAUAACCACUGCUGGAAGCCAUUUGGGCAGAGGCAGAAUCUGGGCUCAGAGUCUAGCCCUGCAGGAUCCAGUGUGGCAGCUGCGUGUCUCUGGAGCACUGGAAAGGAGGCCACUGCAAAUUAGGAUCUGCUGUAAAGAGCAUCUUCCUGGUUAUUCUCUGGGACGCAAAAGCAUGGUGGUAUCUGAUCUCAUCACACUUCUGCCAGGAGGUGAAAUCGAAGAGCAUACAGGUCAUUUGCCUGAGGACACCUGGGGAUUCUGAGGUUGCCUGUCUUUAUUGCCCAUGCCCUGGUGCCUGAGGCCUGUGAGUCAGCUGUGCUCGGUCUGGCAAGCAUCCAUGGAGGACCCGCCAUGCGCCGUGCAUCGUGGUGGCGCCAGCUGUCCAAUUUCAUGAAACUCCAUUUUAAUGAAGGAUACUGACAGAUAGAAACCAAAAAUUCCAACCUAAUACGGGAUAUCAUGUUGAGACAAAGACGUCUUUGUGUGCAAGUGACUGAUUGCUGAGAACUCCAACUUCCCUGCUGACUGAGCCUGGUGAGAAUGUGCAAAUAUCCUGAGUCACCAAUUGUGUGAGUUUGAGGCCCCCUCUGUCCUGGAAGUUCAACCAAAUACCCCUUCUGGGCGUCCCUUUACAUGCCCCACACUGGCCCUGGGCAUAGGCCUGGUCUCACAAAUGAAAACUGAUAGGGCAUGGAAUUGCGGCAAGGCAGGCAGAGAGAGGGUGGGGCAUAUAUUGCACUUUUAGUGAGCCUCAUCUAAGAUUUACUGGUCAGGCUUGAAAAAUCUGAGACACUGAAGGUCCCAGCAGCCAAAUGGGUUCCUCAGGGUUAAGUCCCAAGCCAGAGACUUACAUUGUAAUUUGAGGGGAUCACAGCUGUGUUCCUGCCCUGACUUUGUAGCCUCAACUUUCACCCUUGGAGUCAUUGCUUUAUCUAGAACACAGUCUCCUCUAGACUCCUAUUUUUAAACGAUAUUCCUCCUCACCCCCCUCCUAAUCCUGCCCUCACUUCUCAAGAAUGAGAUGACGAAAUUGCAAAUCCUCCCAUAUGAACUCAUUUUCCUGGUCCUUUCCUCAAUCCCAGGAAUAACCCUGGGUAGGAGGAAUGCACCAGGGGGUGCUUACAAGGGGAAGAGCAGAUGGGAAGGCAAGCGAUCUACUGCAAAAUAGGCCGCUUUUCCCCACCAGGAGGGAGCAGUUGAUUACACAUUUUUUGUGUGUGUGGUAUUUGGCCAUGUUACCUGUUAGUACUCUAGGAAGAGAUCUUUGUGUCUUUGGGGUAGGAAAACAACACUUAAUGUCUUGCAAUGGGUAGGCCAACAAAUGGAUAAAAUCAGGCAAUGUCUGUCUCCCUUGCUGCCUCCAGCAGGUGCUGGGGAGAGGGGAGGACAUCAGAGUCAGCUUAGCCUACCUACACGCUUUUGUCUUGAACCUCUUGAGGGUGAAAAUGAUCCCAGUCCUAAACUGGAGGGAAGCAAUACACUCUUCUCUCACCCUGCAGCUUUGUGGGACAGAACACUGCGCUCAGCCUGGAGAGCAGACGGCUGUGAUUGUUCUCUUUGCAGGCAGGCAGUCCUUGCUUGUUUCCAGCUGCAGGACAAAGCUGAUGCAGAAAGAACUAGUCUGGGGAUUGGCUUUUGACCAGGAGUUCUUCACAAACCUUCUAGGCAGAGUGGGGAAGAGUAGAGGUACAGGUCUCAAGGGGAUUGGCCUCCAAAGUGGAGCCCCCCACUACUGCCUCUCACCCUGGAUGGACCUGGAGAUCUAGCAGUCAAGCAUCUCUGGGCCUCAGUUGCCAACUCUGAUAGAUGAUUGAUAGAUAGAUAGAUAGAUAGAUAGAUAGAUAGAUAGAUAGAUAGAUUAGAUAGAUAGAUGAUAGAUAGUGUCUCUCUCAUAGCAUUGUUUUAAGAUUUAAGGGGGUAACUUGUGGAGUGCCUAGUCCAGGCCUGGCAUUCUAAGUUCUUAUCAAUGAAAGCUGCCAUAAGUGUAGUAUUUCUGGGCUGGCUAUUGGGCAGCAGAUGUGUACUCUUUCCCAAACUCAAAGGUUUCUGAAAUGUCCCAUGACUUCAUUACUUUUAAAAAACGAUAUGAAGUCCAACUCCCAGCCCCUGUUCUAUCAGGCUUCAGGAAACUCCAUCUCAGUUAUUAUUCCAAAUCUUCCACCCUCCAGGUUUCCCAGGCUGCCAGACACUGGGAGCUCCACUAUUGUUGACUCAGGGGACUAGUGUAUGGGCCUUGUCCAGGCUCACCUUGUCGGGUGAGCACCUGAAACCUGAACCUCUGUGCCUCUCAGGGUGCCGGACUCUCAUACCUGGCUCUCAUGCCUGGUGUCUGCCUUCCUUAGCCCACCUUGAAGCUCUCUGUUCCUCCUCCAUUUGCAACUCCCCAGAACCCACAUGACUUCAGGGAUCUACAAGGAGGUAUCUCUAGGACCCAUCGUUCACCAACCUGCAGAUCUCCCGCUGCUUGAAGAAACCCUGUUCCUCCUAUUCUCAACCAACCACAGUAAGGCACCGCAUGCUCCAGCCCCCAGAGCCCCAAGCAUCUGCUCCUUAGCUUGUGAGGAUUGGAUUUGAUCGACUUCUGUCUUCAUUUUUGAGCCAAUUCCUCUUCAUAACCUUUGCUGUUCAUCACAAAGAAGGUCAUCAAAGGCUAAAUAAAGAUUUCUACCAUAAAAAUCAGUCAUAUUUAGUAAUAAUCAUGUAUAUCUUAAGCACUUACCAUGUGUUAGGCACGAAGCUAAAAGUUUGUGUCAUUUACUCCUCAAAAUGAAAUGGAUACUUCUAUUGUCCCAUUUUACAGAAGAAGAAAAGCUCUGGGAAACUAAGCAAAUUUCCUAAGGUCUUAUGCUAGAGUGAGUGGCAUAGCCAGCUUUCAGGGCCAAGUGUCUGAUUCCCAGGUACACUCUUGAUUAGCUACCUCAUCUAUCAUUGGCCCAGUGGAUGGUUUUUCCAGGCUCGACUAACCCAGUUUGAAAACAGAAGGACAUGGAGCUAUGUGAGCAUAGACCACAGUUGUAUUCUUUGCACCUACAGGAAGUAAACAACAUGCCAGUCCAAGUUCUAAUGCAAAUAAAAGCCUGUUUGUUUUCUGAGUCAAUCCUUCAGGCAUUAUCUGUAACAGGUCUGUGGCUCCUCUGCGAAGACUGGGCCUUGAUUGAAUGUGAUGUUGCUGUCAGUCUAGAUUUGUGCUUACAUAUGUGACUGGUCCCCAGACACCAUACAACACUUAAAUGCAGCCCAGUAAUGGUUCCUGACCACUGCACCUCCACUCCAAGAGCACACAGCUGAUGCAGCUGCCAAGCUAUUUCCUAGCCUAAUUACUUUCUUUAUUUUCAUGCCUGGCCAUUGUUAAUGACAUUUGGCCAUCACGCACACAGUAAAUAGAAUUAGGAUGUAUUGGAAAAAAUAUGACUUCUGUAUAGAAAGUUGAGAAUCCAGAAACUGCCAUCUGGAUUUUAUGUCUUCUUGCACAAUAAGACAGCCUCUCAAGGCAGCACAUUUUGGGAGUAGCUUGGCAACAUUCAGCAGCAGCUUGCUUCCUCUUUCUUUAUCCUGCUUGCUCCCAGAUGCUGAGUCCUGCUCUGUAGGUUGAGUGGAGCAGGAGAUGGGUCUAUGGAGGAAAAACCUAAGGCUGUGUCUUCCUUAUUCUCUGGCUCUGACCACUGCCAGUUCGGUACAGUUCUGUCUAUGGUUAUGCUGCCAUACUGCUGCUUUUCCCUCUGAAGUUUUAAUGAAAUCGUCCUAGUAAGUCUGACCCUCUUAUUCUGCAUAGAGCACCCUUUAUUGUUUCAUGUAUUUUUUGAAGGCUAGUAAAGCUUCCUAAGGAAGGCAGGUCAGGAGAUGGUAAACCAAAGCUCUCAUUAAAUGCUAGCCAUUACUACUACUGCUACUGGCAAAAACCCCAAUGUGGAGUUCAUCCUUUCUCUGUCUCUUACAUCCUUCUUGAUGCCUAGAAGAGUGCUGGGUAUGCAAUAGAUAUUCCUUCAUAGAUUCUUGGUGGCCUGGCUUUAUGCUUCCAAUUUACUACCUAUAAAAUAUCCAUCAGUGUUUUCCAAGCUUCAGUCAUUUCCCCAUUAUCUUUGCAGAUUGAUUACUAUCUGUACAAUUAUUUUUUCAUUAUACUUUUUAUUUUAUUUUACUUUUUUUAGACGGAGUCUGACUUUGUCACCCAGGCUGGAGU
Chlorocebus sabaeus (green monkey) is the source of this 4463-nucleotide non-coding RNA. The record is from RefSeq and is a predicted model, not a curated record. Lineage: Eukaryota; Metazoa; Chordata; Mammalia; Primates; Cercopithecidae.